CCCUUAGAUGUUCUGGGCCGCACGCGCGCUACACUGAUGCAUUCAACGAGUCUAAAACCUGCUCUGAUAGGGGUGGGUAAUCUUUUGAAUGUGCAUCGUGAUUGGGAUAGAUGAUUGCAAUUUUUCAUCUUCAACGAGGAAUGCCUAGUAAACGCAAGUCAUCAGCUUGCAUUGAUUACGUCCCUGCCCUUUGUACACACCGCCCGUCGCUACUACCGAUUGAAUGGUUUAGUGAGAUCUCUGGAUUGACGCUGGCUAGGGGGCGACCCUUGGCCAGGCUGUCGAGAAACUGCUCAAACUUGAUCAUUUAGAGGAAGUAAAAGUCGUAACA
Molecule: ribosomal RNA, 331 nt
Filed under: uncultured eukaryote
Lineage: Eukaryota
Description: partial 18S ribosomal RNA
Rfam family: Eukaryotic small subunit ribosomal RNA
Source: RNAcentral